AUACGUAGGGAGCGAGCGUUGUCCGGAAUUACUGGGUGUAAAGGGAGCGUAGGCGGGAUGGCAAGUCAGAUGUGAAAACUAUGGGCUCAACCCAUAGACUGCAUUUGAAACUGUUGUUCUUGAGUGAAGUAGAGGUAAGCGGAAUUCCUGGUGUAGCGGUGAAAUGCGUAGAUAUCAGGAGGAACAUCGGUGGCGAAGGCGGCUUACUGGGCUUUUACUGAGGCUGAGGCUCUAAAGCUUGGGGAGCAAACAGGAUUAGAUACCCUGGUAGUCCACGCUGUAAACUAUGAUUACUAGGUGUGGGGGGACUGACCCCAUCCGUGCCGCAGUUAACACAAUAAGUAAUCCACCUGGGGAGUACGGCCGCAAGGUUGAAACUCAAAUGAAUUGACGGGG
This 396-nucleotide ribosomal RNA is filed under the name uncultured bacterium. RNAcentral's name for it is "partial 16S ribosomal RNA". It matches the Rfam family "Bacterial small subunit ribosomal RNA", at positions 523 to 918 of the family's 1533-position model. The record is from RNAcentral.